This 341-nucleotide small RNA is filed under the name Arabidopsis thaliana (thale cress). RNAcentral describes it as "ATSL211870". Lineage: Eukaryota; Viridiplantae; Streptophyta; Magnoliopsida; Brassicales; Brassicaceae. The record is from RNAcentral.
UUUAUACCAAUCAAGAUUAUAAAAUUUUGGUUUCCCUACAAUUUAGAAAAACUAUUUUGUUGUAGUUUUUGAUUCAUGAUUUUAAUUUUAUAGUUUUCCUAAAACUUAGGGAAUCUAGUUUUUACUCCAUCAACGUUAUUUUUCUCAAAAACUAAAAACCAAUUUUUUGGGGUUUUUAAAACAAAAAUAUAAUAACAAAAAUCUAAAACUAAAAUCUAAAAUCUAGAAACUAAAAUCUAAAUCCAAAAACUGAAUCGAAAAUCAGCAUCCAUUCAGGGUCUAAACCAAAAAUAAAUCAUCGAAUCAUAAAUAAUUUUUAGUUUUGAUGGAUUUUUGAGAAA